Ailuropoda melanoleuca (giant panda) is the source of this 905-nucleotide long non-coding RNA. RefSeq lists it as uncharacterized. The record is from RefSeq and is a predicted model, not a curated record. The transcript is spliced from 2 exons. NCBI's taxonomy places the organism in Eukaryota, Metazoa, Chordata, Mammalia, Carnivora, Ursidae.
UUCCGGAAGGCUGAACCCGUACGCAGGGGCUUCCACAGGGCCCGUUUGCUUGUGGAGGGAAGAGCCAGACUUCUCAAAGCUCAGUCUCUUCCGCAGCUGGGACCCCAGGGCCUUCUGUAUGUUCAGCAGAGAGAGCUCCCCAGAACAUGACUCCGUCUCCAUCCUGGGUUGUGAUGAUGCCACUGCUUGUCACGUUGUGGUCCUGAGACACACAGAGAAUGGGGCUACCUGCUUGGCACAUGGUAAGGGAACCGACACAGAAGCUGGGGCCCCCUUGAUCACGAAUUCCAUAACAAGAUCCUUUUUCCGCCGGCGCUCCGUGAGGAAGGGUGCUGGCGCGCCUCCUGGUCGGCUUCAGUGAGGACAGGCACUGUCACCGGAGCGUCCUUAACGUCCUGACAGGAAGAUGACACUUAGUGUGUGUGACAGAAUUGAAUGGCCGCGAAGUAAAUGAAAGCCACAUUCCAGCAACUUAAGCCCACUUCUCAUUUCAGGCUCAGCCCCAGUGGACAGUUCCAUGGAAGCACAGACUUUCUUUUGUGCUGCCAGCACAAGCUCAAGCUACUUCAACUUUCUGCCCCACGGCCAUCUCCAACGCUGGAGGAGUUUGCCUGCAUACAAAUGCAGACCAGAAAUGUCUCUGAGUUAACCGUCUCUGAGGAAGCCUCAACUAAUACAGGACAGAAGCAGGUGGGCAAAUGCUCAACCCAUUGCUUCAGGUAGACAAAUCUGGACAACAUUCCCUGAGCCUCUUUCGAGAACCUGAUAGAAACAAGCCCACUGCUCAGAGCAGCCACCUCAACAACAUACCCUUAUCUUGGCUGUUCCUCCUUCCCUGACUCAUUCACCCUGUUCUCUCACUCUUGCUUCCUGGAAUCACUUCCCAAAUAAAUGCCCCACACUCA